Molecule: ribosomal RNA, 428 nt
Filed under: uncultured bacterium
Lineage: Bacteria
Description: bacterial SSU rRNA
Rfam family: Bacterial small subunit ribosomal RNA
Source: RNAcentral
AGGGAAUCUUCCGCAAUGGACGAAAGUCUGACGGAGCAACGCCGCGUGAGUGAAGAAGGCCUUCGGGUCGUAAAACUCUGUUGCCGGGGAAGAACAAGUGCCGUUCGAACAGGGCGGUGCCUUGACGGUACCCGGCCAGAAAGCCACGGCUAACUACGUGCCAGCAGCCGCGGUAAUACGUAGGUGGCAAGCGUUGUCCGGAAUUAUUGGGCGUAAAGCGCGCGCGCAGGCGGCUUCUUAAGUCUGAUGUGAAAUCUUGCGGCUCAACCGCAAGCGGUCAUUGGAAACUGGGAGGCUUGAGUGCAGAAGAGGAGAGUGGAAUUCCACGUGUAGCGGUGAAAUGCGUAGAGAUGUGGAGGAACACCAGUGGCGAAGGCGGCUCUCUGGUCUGUAACUGACGCUGAGGCGCGAAAGCGUGGGGAGCAAAC